AGAGUUAGAUCCUGGCUCAGGAUGAACGCUGGCGGCGUGCUUAACACAUGCAAGUCGAGCGAAGCAGUUAAGAAGAUUCUUCGGAUGAUUUUUAACUGACUGAGCGGCGGACGGGUGAGUAACGCGUGGGUGACCUGCCCCAUACCGGGGGAUAACAGCUGGAAACGGCUGCUAAUACCGCAUAAGCGCACAGAGCUGCAUGGCUCGGUGUGAAAAACUCCGGUGGUAUGGGAUGGGCCCGCGUCUGAUUAGGCAGUUGGCGGGGUAACGGCCCACCAAACCGACGAUCAGUAGCCGGCCUGAGAGGGCGACCGGCCACAUUGGGACUGAGACACGGCCCAAACUCCUACGGGAGGCAGCAGUGGGGAAUAUUGCACAAUGGGGGAAACCCUGAUGCAGCGACGCCGCGUGAGCGAAGAAGUAUUUCGGUAUGUAAAGCUCUAUCAGCAGGGAAGAUAAUGACGGUACCUGACUAAGAAGCCCCGGCUAACUACGUGCCAGCAGCCGCGGUAAUACGUAGGGGGCAAGCGUUAUCCGGAUUUACUGGGUGUAAAGGGAGCGUAGACGGCAAGGCAAGUCUGAUGUGAAAACCCAGGGCUUAACCCUGGGACUGCAUUGGAAACUGUCUGGCUCGAGUGCCGGAGAGGUAAGCGGAAUUCCUAGUGUAGCGGUGAAAUGCGUAGAUAUUAGGAAGAACACCAGUGGCGAAGGCGGCUUACUGGACGGUAACUGACGUUGAGGCUCGAAAGCGUGGGGAGCAAACAGAAUUAGAUACCCUGGUAGUCCACGCCGUAAACGAU
RNAcentral lists this ribosomal RNA (800 nucleotides) under uncultured bacterium. Its description in RNAcentral is "bacterial SSU rRNA". It matches the Rfam family "Bacterial small subunit ribosomal RNA", at positions 8 to 810 of the family's 1533-position model. The record is from RNAcentral.